GGGGGCGAACGGUCUCGACUGGGCGGGAAGCAGCGGGGCUGCGCGCCGAGGUUGGUAGGGUCCUCGCAAAACAACCUACCGGACGCGAAUAAGCGUCAACCAGCCUGUUCUCGCCGCGGCCUAAUCCCCGCGGCCGUCUCCCCGGGUCCUGCCGGCGGACCCGGAGGGGGCGUGACGAAGCCGGCUGCGCCUGACCGCCGGGCCUCGGGCGGCCGGGCUAAGACAGAAGGGGCUGGCGCCGGGCCAUCCCGCCUGCGGGAGGGCCCGGUGGCGAGACCAGAACGCAGGCUACGCGCGUAGACGCCUCGCCCUCACCUGUCCAGGACGCGGGUUCGAUUCCCGCCGCCUCCACCA
RNAcentral lists this transfer-messenger RNA (354 nucleotides) under bacterium. RNAcentral's name for it is "HRBIN32 sp002898935 Standard tmRNA". It matches the Rfam family "transfer-messenger RNA". From Rfam's summary of the family: Bacterial tmRNA, also known as 10Sa RNA or SsrA, is named for its dual tRNA and mRNA-like properties. Its role is to liberate the mRNA from a stalled ribosome. To accomplish this part of the tmRNA is used as a reading frame that ends in a translation stop signal. The record is from RNAcentral. RNAcentral also lists the same sequence under 1 other name.